UACGGAGGGUGCAAACGUUGCUCGGAAUCAUUGGGCGUAAAGCGCACGUAGGCGGUCCAGCAAGUCGGGUGUGAAAGCCCUCGGCUCAACCGAGGAAGUGCAUUCGAAACUGCUGAACUUGAGUAUGGAAGAGGGUCGCGGAAUUCCCGGUGUAGAGGUGAAAUUCGUAGAUAUCGGGAGGAACACCAGUGGCGAAGGCGGCGACCUGGGCCAAUACUGACGCUGAGGUGCGAAAGCGUGGGGAGCAAACCGG
This 253-nucleotide ribosomal RNA is filed under the name uncultured bacterium. RNAcentral's name for it is "partial 16S ribosomal RNA". It matches the Rfam family "Bacterial small subunit ribosomal RNA", at positions 524 to 776 of the family's 1533-position model. The record is from RNAcentral.